GCACGGUCAUUGAGCAACUUUUUUUUCUACCCGACCCGAGCUAUACUAUUGUUACAAAAAACCCGAUUUCAUUGAUUUACUAAUAUCAUCGCAGUACAUACAUACAACAAUAUAACGCCCUACAGCUGAGAUCGUGUCGCUCAAAAUUCAAAUAGUUUACACAAAGGGUCCACCCUUGACAUACUCAGUGAAAGCUAGAGCAACCAAACCAAGCAUAGCAAAUCUACCGUUCCAGAUCUCUGCAUCGGAGGUCAUCAACCCAUCCGAUUUCGACUCUGCGGUUACACCUCCGAACAUCGGAAUUAGCGAAGCAACAGUGAACAGCCCGCUAAUCAAUAAGAACCAAGAGGCUCCUCCCUCUGAAAUUUGAGUGAACACAUCCUGACCCUUGGAUAGCUCCACCGCCAAAGCAGCCACGAAUCCAACCAUCGCAAGCCUGCCGUUUAUUCU
RNAcentral lists this long non-coding RNA (450 nucleotides) under Linum usitatissimum (flax). RNAcentral's name for it is "long non-coding RNA (LUSI_LNC005359)". Lineage: Eukaryota; Viridiplantae; Streptophyta; Magnoliopsida; Malpighiales; Linaceae. The record is from RNAcentral.